This 479-nucleotide long non-coding RNA is filed under the name Calidris pugnax (ruff). RNAcentral's name for it is "lncRNA (ENSCPUG00000013952.1)". The record is from RNAcentral. Lineage: Eukaryota; Metazoa; Chordata; Aves; Charadriiformes; Scolopacidae.
GCCAGGCACUUGCUGGCUGUAGGGACGCUCCUCACAGCCAGCCUGAAGGUGUCCUGGUUAUUUUUGUCAAGGCCUUGAUUUCCUCUCUCCUUUCUUUCAGCUCUAAAAUGGGGAAAAAAUGAGCCCCUAGGAUGAUGACAGAUUCACAAGGGACAAUGAGGAGGAACCUUCCCCUCCACAGGAGGGGGAUGAUGAACCUUUCAAGUGCACCCAACCUUCAGGCAACAUCAGCUCUGAUGACCAUCUCCACUCCACUCUGCCUAAAAUCCUCCCCAUGAUCCCAGGCCACCCAAAUGCUGGCUAGCACUAGUGGUGUUCCACAAGGAGAAUUCAUCUUCCCAACAUCUUGUAUUAAGGCUCUGAUGGGCCAAAUACGCCCCAAAAUGUUGAUCUGACUUUAGUAGAGGAGUGUGCUUGUGCAUAGUUACUGGCGCUUGGACAUAGUUACACAUGAUGCUGGGGUACUGCCUCCAGCUUUG